RNAcentral lists this ribosomal RNA (450 nucleotides) under uncultured bacterium. RNAcentral describes it as "partial 16S ribosomal RNA". It matches the Rfam family "Bacterial small subunit ribosomal RNA", at positions 354 to 796 of the family's 1533-position model. The record is from RNAcentral.
GUGGGGAAUCUUCCGCAAUGGACGAAAGUCUGACGGAGCAACGCCGCGUGAGUGAAGAAGGUUUUCGGAUCGUAAAGCUCUUUCGUUAGGGACGAACGUGCUCUUUGUGAAUAAUGAGGAGUAAUGACGGUACCUAAAUAAGAAGCCACGGCUAACUACGUGCCAGCAGCCGCGGUAAUACGUAGGUGGCAAGCGUUGUCCGGAAUUAUUGGGCGUAAAGCGCGCGCAGGCGGGAUAUCAAGUCUGGCUUAAAAGUGCGAGGCUCAACCUCGUGAGGGGACAGAAACUGGUAUUCUUGAGUGUCGGAGAGGAAAGUGGAAUUCCAAGUGUAGCGGUGAAAUGCGUAGAGAUUUGGAAGAACACCAGUGGCGAAGGCGACUUUCUGGACGAUGUCUGACGCUGAGGCGCGAAAGCUAGGGGAGCGAACGGGAUUAGAAACCCUAGUAGUCC